This 229-nucleotide ribosomal RNA is filed under the name uncultured bacterium. Its description in RNAcentral is "partial 16S ribosomal RNA". It matches the Rfam family "Bacterial small subunit ribosomal RNA", at positions 568 to 796 of the family's 1533-position model. The record is from RNAcentral.
UACGUAGGCGGAAAAUUAAGUCAGUGGUGAAAUCCUGCAGCUUAACUGUAGAACUGUCAUUGAUACUGGUUUUCUUGAAUAUAGUUGAGGUAGGCGGAAUGUGUAAUGUAGCGGUGAAAUGCUUAGAUAUUACACAGAACACCGAUUGCGAAGGCGGCUUACUAAGCUAUGAUUGACGCUGAGGUACGAAAGCGUGGGGAGCGAACAGGAUUAGAUACCCUGGUAGUCC